UUUUUUAGAUCUAAAAUUCAAAAGGUUUCAGUUGGAUUUGGGGAAAAUUAGUUUAGGAUUUGGGUAGAGGAGGGUGAGACCGUUGCGGAUUGUGAUUUUUGUAAGGUUUGGGAGGUGGCACCGCCGUACACGGCGAGGCGGCAUCACUAUUUUUUGAAUAUUCAAAGAGCUUGGGUUGGAUUUGAAGGAUGAUAUUUAGAGCUUUGGAAAGAGGAGAAGAAGGCGAUUAAAGGGUGUAAAUUUUGUUGCCAUUGGAGCUUUGCCGCCGGCGGAGACGAUUUCUGGUCGGCGGCAGGCGGCGGAGGGGCGGCGGAGAAAAGUGGUACAAGGAAGAAGGG
This 338-nucleotide long non-coding RNA is filed under the name Nicotiana benthamiana. Its description in RNAcentral is "long non-coding RNA (NBEN_LNC034099)". The record is from RNAcentral. Lineage: Eukaryota; Viridiplantae; Streptophyta; Magnoliopsida; Solanales; Solanaceae.